UCAUAGUAAAUAUUAGGUCAUCUCCCGAGUGGGCCGUUCUACAACUGGACCCUUUUCCCAUCCACCCAUCAGCAGCCGGUCGGGUGGAAAUCUCUGUGCUGAUAGUCGCGCGUGAAAACAUUGUCACUCAAUCGUGCAAAUAGUGUGUGAGUGUAGCAUGGCUCUACGCCUGGGAAGUGUAGUGUGACUCGAACUUUUUAUCUCCGGUAUCGAAAUCUGGGGGUCGGAACGCAUUCCGGCCCUUAGUUAGUCACUCGUAAACGCAUCACUUCCCAAAACAGCUUCCCAUAAUCGAAAACUCUGCACCGAACAACGAACAAAUCCGGUGCCGGGAGGAGGCUAACCUCCCGUAAUCGAACCGUAACCGUUACGCAUCGGCGAACUCGUAGAAGAAGUCUUCCACCAACCGAACCUACCGCCGGACAAAAGAGUGCGCACGGAUGGAAAGGAGGAAAAAAAAAGUUCCGAUUCCACCCGACCCUGUUGCCCUGUAAAAAAGGGUAAAAACUUCGGGGUACGGUACGGUACGGAAAAACUCAUCCCAUUAUCGGCGGAAUGUGCCAUCUGGGACUUUUCGGCAAUUGUUCGAACGGACGUGCGAGGGCGGUACAGCCAGUCGGAAGCGGGCAACGGUUUGCUGCUCAGCAAAGCUCAGCGCCGGUCUGAGCGUGGCCGAUCGAUCUGGCUAACUUUUUCUCAAACAACCGUAAACAGCUUAAUAAACGGCAGCUUAACCACUUAAUUACGAAGAUUCCGAUUGAUCCGCCGGCCGAGAUUGGUACGGUAGGGAGGCGGGCAACCAGAAGGUCAUCGACGACGAUGUGACGCUGACGGUGGUCCCUCCCGGAUAUGUUCUGCCGCUGCCGGUUAAAGAAUUCCGUUCAAUCAUUCAACCUAAUCGAAUUCGGCCAAACACUCAUUUCCGGGUCUUGGGCAAUCCCGGCAGCCACUUCCGGAUGGUGUUGCAAGCCUUUUGCGUUUGGAUCCUUCCCCCCCUGAUGCCGCGCGGAUUAAUUACGUCUCGCACGCCGGGCCUUCCACGGCCUUCGACUCUAGACACGAGGGCAAACUUUCCUGUAAAUCACCACUAACUGUCCCAGGGAAAUGAAUGUAAACGACUUCGGCAGGUUACUGCGCCACGGGACGGGAAUGGUGUAAUCGUAAAGAUGAGACACAAAUUGUCCACUCCAUUGGCAUUCGGGAACGUGUCUUCGCUAGCAACCACGCCAAGCAGAUGUUAAUGGGAAGUAGGCCUUUUCUUCCGAGUUCCGAGUGGUACCGCAUUCCGUUCUUCUGUGCGUAGAAUCUCGCGGGACAUUUCUCCUGCCAGCGCCAGCAGUGGAUGCAUAAAGUUUUUCCCGAAAAACGGAUCGUCGUUUUCUAAACGCACCGUGACUUAGCGUCCGGAUGAGCCUCACAGAUGUCACACGACGAUGAUGAUGAUGGUGGUGCCGUGGAUGGGAUAGAACGAUGGGAACAGGUACGAAAGACACCCUAAUGUGUAUAAGCUAACCCGCCCGUUCACCUAGUUUCGGGAAGGCUCUUUUAAGAAGCCGCAAGGAUGAUGGGCUACCUUCGGUGGCAGCUCAAUUUUCCACCUUCUGUUUCGGUACGCGUAUGUGUGUGUGUGUGUGUGAUUAGGACCGAGAGGAAAUAGAAAACACGAGGGAAGUAUUAAUAACACCGUGUAAUUACACCAUAAAGAGGCCUUCCCUCGCCGUAGACACCCUCUCACCGUGGGUAAGGAUGGCCGCCACUGACUGGAAACCACUUUGAUCCGAAACUGUUCCAAACGUCUGAGGGGGCUUCAGUGCUCCUGUUGAGCGGGCAAAAUUAUCCUUGAAAUUAUAACCGCAAAAAAGACGUGCUUCGUGUCCUCAACCCUGAGGAUGUUUAAUUUUCUUCACCCAUUUCUCAGUUCCCGGAGACAAGGAUUACUACACAAAACCACCGAACGUAAGCCUAAAGUGUGAAGGUCGCUCAGGAUGCUCUUUGACCUUCUCCUUUGCGAACCGGAAGACGGCAGGCCGGUGGUUUGGGUGGGGUAAGAUUAAGUGGUUACCCCGUGCACGAACCCGAAAACCCCUUGGUAAUGUAUGUAAUUAUACCCGUAACCCUUGACGACGAAGCAACACACACACAUAUUCGUUGAUCGUAUUUCGUGCCCGGUUAGGCUUAGCUAAUGUCUUUAACGCUUGGAGAAAGAGUUGCUCACGAACGAUUUAAUUAGUUUGAUAGUGAUGAAUGUCCCACGGGGAAAUGAAGUUUCAAAAAACGUACGCUUUGCCUGAGCGCGGUCGGAAUGGGAGGGUGUUGUGUUCUUGGAUGUGAUUGAGGCAGUUUGAAAGUUAAUAUGAGUAGUUUAUCUCGCCUUUUUUACGAAGGCAAGGAACCGCUUUGGAAGGGAUGUUAGUUGUGAUUACGACGGGGGGAUGACUUUAAUUAGAAUGUAAGUAUUGUCAUAACGGAUGGCUGUUCGGGAGAGGCGCGUGACACUGGGUUAGGAUGGUUUAGAAUGAAUUUCAACAUUUAUGGGCAUGUUUUGCAUAGGCGGUUGUUGUCGUAUGUUACCUACAUCGGUGUUUUGCGUGUAAGUUGUGUUCAUCGCCAAAGGGAACGUUAACAGGGCGCCAUAUUUACGUUAUCGUUUGCUUACAAAAUAGCUGUUGAGCUCAUGCUGAUUAUAUUAAUUCUAGAAUUCUAGAAUCUUAGGCUAAAAAUUAUCAUCAAAUUGUGCUAGAACCUCAGGAAAGUAAGUCAUUAAAAACAUUUGAGGUAUUGCAGAACUUUUUGAGUAGAUUUCCUUUACAAGUCUUGACUGACGAUCAAAUCGAUAAUGAAGACGUAUUUAUUUUGCUUGUUAGACACCUACCCCAACAUAGGGCGCAGAUAGGAAGCAGACAAUCGCCAACUAUCUUACUUGAGUGAACUUAAGUUUUGCUUAUCUAAGAAACUAUCUUCUUCUUUCUUGGCACUAAAACCUCGCAAAGUCUAGGCCUGCCAUUUCUAGCUUUCUGUGACUUCCCGUAGCAAAGUAGUCAGCCUUGCGUACGGGGAGGCGCGAUCCAGUUGGGAUUUGAAGCCCGAUCCUGCCGUGUGAAGACCGGUGCCGUGGUCCUCUCUGCUAUCGGACCACCCCUAAAAAACUAUAUUUGAAGAUGUUGGAUGUUCCUUAAAUUUCACAAUGAACCAGAUUUAAGACCUUGUAAGGUAAAGAAUACUGAUCACGAUAGUUCCGGUUGCUCUGGUAGUCAUCUCAGGACGCAAGUCCUAGGCGAUCUUGAGCCAAGAAUCCAACGGGAAAAAAUAUGGUGUUUUGUGUGAACAACGCGUCUAGAGAGGAAACAUGAACUACACAUUUGUAGGAGAGAGUUAUCCUGAAGAAUAAGAAAAAUAGGACUAAUGAUCAUGAUGCCUAACAUAUGGUGUCUUUGACUGGAUCAAGUACAAACGGACUAGCCGUAGAUUCAAUGCAGAAGUUGGUUGAGGAAUUAGGUUUUCUAGUGACUUGCUGAAGUGGGUGAGGUAUUCUAGUGGGAGCGUUCCGGUGGACGAGGUGAUAGCGGCGCCGGUCUUCAACACGGCAGGGCCGGGGUUCAAAUCCCAUCCAGACCGCCUCCCCCUACGUAAGGCUGACUACUUUACUACGGGUAAAAUCAAGUCACAGAAAGCCAGAAAUUGCAGACCGAGACCUCUCGAGGUUGUAGUGCCAAGGAAGAAGAAGAAGGAGAAGUGAGUUGCUUUCAUAGAUGACCUCUCAAUAACAGUAUAAAUUCCUCAACUUUAAAGCCAAGAAAAACAAAAUGGCUUAAAUAUAUCACUGUUACUUUCAAUAGAAAUGCUCU
This is a long non-coding RNA of Anopheles stephensi (Asian malaria mosquito), 3845 nucleotides long. RefSeq lists it as uncharacterized. Lineage: Eukaryota; Metazoa; Arthropoda; Insecta; Diptera; Culicidae. The transcript has 3 exons. The record is from RefSeq and is a predicted model, not a curated record.